RNAcentral lists this ribosomal RNA (497 nucleotides) under uncultured bacterium. RNAcentral describes it as "partial 16S ribosomal RNA". It matches the Rfam family "Bacterial small subunit ribosomal RNA", at positions 28 to 507 of the family's 1533-position model. The record is from RNAcentral.
GAUGAACGCUGGCGGCGUGCCUAAUACAUGCAAGUCGAGCGAACGGACGAGAAGCUUGCUUCUCUGAUGUUAGCGGCGGACGGGUGAGUAACACGUGGAUAACCUACCUAUAAGACUGGGAUAACUUCGGGAAACCGGAGCUAAUACCGGAUAAUAUUUUGAACCGCAUGGUUCAAAAGUGAAAGACGGUCUUGCUGUCACUUAUAGAUGGAUCCGCGCUGCAUUAGCUAGUUGGUAAGGUAACGGCUUACCAAGGCAACGAUGCAUAGCCGACCUGAGAGGGUGAUCGGCCACACUGGAACUGAGACACGGUCCAGACUCCUACGGGAGGCAGCAGUAGGGAAUCUUCCGCAAUGGGCGAAAGCCUGACGGAGCAACGCCGCGUGAGUGAUGAAGGUCUACGGAUCGUAAAACUCUGUUAUUAGGGAAGAACAUAUGUGUAAGUAACUGUGCACAUCUUGACGGUACCUAAUCAGAAAGCCACGGCUAACUACGUG